UUUGAAGCAAUCUGACUGAGCGUGUUCAAUAAGUUGAUUGAUCCCAUUUGAGGAAGUAUCUCCAUUGAGGUAAUUUUGGGGAUUAGUACUAGAACCAUAUCACUAAAGUUUGGUCAAAUAACUCCAUUAAAAGAAUCACCUAUUACUAUGCGUACAUCAUUUUUUAGAAAUAACUAGUGAAAUUGGUAAACAUAAGUAAGAGGUUGUCUAGCCCCUGCGCUCUUGCCAGUCAAAUUUAGAAUAGUGCAUUCUCAAUUUCUUCAUCCAUCACGUCCGUGUUCACCCUCUCCUCCAUAUCACUAGUCACACAGGGUCGGAUGUGAGCUAAGAUGUUGUCAGCAUCAACAGAGGCUUCUGAAGAAAACAACUAAGCAUAGAAAUCGGCCGAAAUCUUCCCCAUCUCAUUGUCAAUAGUACAACUCAUGCCAUCCGCCCUCAUGUUUUGAUCGUCUUCCUUGAGAAAUUCCAGUUGGGAACAUUGCAUACACAUUAUUUGUUCUUGUGCACGAACCACAUGAAGCUACGCUUCAAUCUCGCUGGUCUUCAGCAAGGAUGUCUGGAUCCCAAUGCGCUACCCUUUCCAUCGAAGCUGGACCUUGUGCCUAGUAAUCUGACAACAUACAAGACAAAAUAUAGAGCCACUUCAAUGUUUCAUAUCAUUGGUGACAUUGUUACGCUUCCUGUAGAGCUCACUCUGGCCGAAAUUGUUAUCACAUGCACACUAUCAUGCCUACAUGGGCAUCCACCUCUCCUCAAACGUUAAUGCCCUCUUCUUACUUUUGGUAAUGACUAGGUUUUCUAGCGAUCUAUUAACGAGCAAACCAUGGUCUGGUCCUCCAUGACAACAUGUUCAAUGGGUGUAUCCUACAAUGAAUGCACGAAUUCAUCAUUGCAUGGACCCCUGUCCACAUGUACAUAAACGAUCUCAUCCCGCACCCUCUUAUUGUCCCAAGUGUACAUGUUGCUACUAAAACAAAGUUUUGAAACACUAUUAUUGGCUACACUCUCCCUAAUGCGCUCCAUUUGUGUGAAACUCCUCAAGUAAUCUCCUAGUUGUUGUGAUUAAAAGAAUUCUUUGUUGAGGUAUCAUUGUAACAGAUAAAUGUAUUAUUAGGAUCCAAUCUCUCGGAGCCUCCCUUAGCUACACAAAUUUUCAUCAAUCUCUCUUCCUAUCCAGUAGCUUUAGGUGAUAAUCAUUGUGACGCCUUUGGUGGUCACCAUCACGUUGCCUUGUCUUAUGAACAAAAGUGCCUCGUCUGCGUUGCUCUGAGGUAGAUGGGUCAUCUUUCCCAAUGGCCUUGCACCCUUUCCCAUAUAGAUUUUUUUAUGUCUUGCUUACUUUCAUGCUCCUUCCUCAGGUCCCACUUACUUUUUAGAUUUAAAUCAUCCCUUAGUUCACAAUCAUGUCACAUUUCUUGCCUGAAUUGGUCCUCCCUACACUUCAUCUUAGGCAGUUACCCUGUACAAGACCAUCUCGAGGAUCCUCGCUAGAGAGAGAGUCCACAGAGGGUGUAUAAUCAGUGUAUGACCUGCACUUAAAUGGACGGGCAUGCAACGCUACAUGACCCCUACGCCCAUAGACGCCCUUGCUUGACCUAGUGCUCCCAAAACUAAAGUUCGUGCUUUCUUUCACCGGCCUCUACUUAGUUUUUGUCUAUGAGGAGCCAUGUCCAAGUGAUGCCCUCAACCAUUCACCCAACUAGGGUGAGGAAUCAUUUUGUGGUUCAAAUCAUCUGUCAACAUGUGCUAGUCUGUCGUAGUCAAUCCAAAAGAGAGGUAUCUUCUCAAAUUGAAAAUCAAACAAGGUCCCCUCAUCUUUUGCUGAAGAGUGGAUAAAGAAGCCUUAGACUAGUGAAAGAAAUCUAUCUCUAAAUCUGAGAUGGUUCCCCCAUAAAUCCAUCGUUCUUAACAUCACUCUUUACCACGCCACCAAGACAAUUCCCAAGAGCAUUCCCAAAAGUAUAUGAUCAUUUAUAUAGGGGAGGAUCUGUAAUUAUCACCCAUGGCUCCGUCAUACAAAACAUUAUCUUCGAUGACCUGGUUUUUUCAUCAUAAUCCUUCAAAACUAUCACAUUAAAACCAAAUUGCCACAUUCAAUUAUAUAGAGCGUGCUUCUAGACUCCUUUGUUAUGGAAUCUAAAGAAGAAGAUACUAUUUCUAAUGUGACUUACUUGGACUUCCUAAUAGUGUCACAUGUAUGUUGCGUAGCCCUAGCAAACACGUUGAUGUUGAUUUGCUGGAGUGAGCAUGCCUUUCCAACCACUGACCACCGAGUAGGCCUCGGUCGGUCUGGAAUCCUGAUUCUCAAGCAUGAGAUCUAUUAGUUCCUUUUGUUGUUAACUUCUGGGCUCCUUGUUAAUUUGGUUGAGAGAUUAGCUGCCUCCCCUGAAGCAUUUCCAUCUGUCAGGGACUUUGAAGGUUCUCAUCUUAAUGAUCCUUGGUCGCCCUGUUCACUUGAGCUGUCGAUUUACGCCACGCCUUCUCUCCCAUAGUCGCGCAAAGGAGUGGAAGCACCAAGACCAAUCAAUGUAGGAGUAUAGAGUGUCAUCACCUCAUAGAUGAAUAGAAACCUAACCCUAGCACUACUUGUCGGUCGCCUAUAAUCGCCCUUAGCAUUUCUUUUCAUGUUGGGCCCGCCAUAAGGUAUUUAUAUGUUCGCUUCCAUUGGUACUUUUUUUUGCACUGGAGCCUUUCUGCUACAUUUGCCUUUCUACGAAGGAUGUCUUAUCCAAAUCAUAUAGUCUCCUCUAUCUAUAGGAAGCGAGGACAUUAGCUCUUCUUUUUUUCAAGGCAAAUACACUUGCUAGUGUUCAAGCGACAUCGAAAGAAGUCUUGUCACAUGUGAAGACGACGCUAAGAGUGUGACACAUAUAGGUGCCAACUUGAAGAAUAAUGCAAAUUUCAGUAAAUAUGAAUAGCUCCUGGGGGAACGAGCGCAUAAAGGAAUCAGCCACCAUAAAUGGAUCAUUUCCAAAGAAACAAAGUCACAAAGAGAGAGACAAGACAUUAGCUUCUUUAUGGGGAACACAUAUAUUUAAAUGUUGCCUUGCUCUCUGAUUAUUAACAAGAAAUAAUUUUUACUAAUAUAUUAUGUGUAAAUCUUGAUAGAUAUGGAAUGUAUUUUGGUCAGUAUGUUUUAAGGAAUCAUAUUAGUUUUUGGUAUGUAGAAAUUAAAAGAAGUUCAUGUGCCUUCAAGGCAUGUCAAGGUGUGUUGUUCCACCUCAAAAUUGGUUCAUACUAAAUGGUUAUUCUCCCUACAUAUAGCCCCAAUUCUCAUGCUCUCUCUCUCUCUCUCUCUAUUUUAUAUUCCAGACUACUCCAUAAAGCCUAACUGGUGAAGGUCCAGAAACACCCAGCAGUGACGGGUUGAACUCCCAUUAGUAGUCUAUACUUAGUGGAGGAGAAACAAGCCACUUACAGGCACGAGCCCGCCAAUGGUGAAUAAAUCAGAAAAGAAAAUCAGGCCAUGGCCAGUCCAAAUCCAGCACCUGCCAACAAUGUGUAGUCUCCACUACUCGAACCUACUUUUCCUCAGUGCGUGACAUCAUGUGAUGUUUGGAGAAUCCAUAGAGUUGGGGAUCCGAAUAUAAAAAACAACAAUGGGGAGUGGCUUGAAGAAUAGGAGCCAAGAAGCUGGACGGAGAAGGCCUCCACCAUACUGCACCAUUGGCCGAUACUGAUCCGUAUGGUGCAAGGACCAAGGCAGAACUGAACACCGUCAUCAUCUAGGUUGCAAAGGAAGUUGGACCACUGUGUUGCUUCUCUCGGACAAACUCAAUGAUUUCAUGCAGUUGGCACCCAUGCCACAUUCCAUAGAGAUAACAACAUUGAGGAGGAGGAGGGACAACGCAAGGUUUCUUCCUCAUAGGAAUUAGUUUCGAGGAAGUGGGGGGACGAUAUGGCAUGAUGAGCAGUUAACAAGGGAAGUUUGCAUGACUGUGGAGGACAAAGCAUUAAGACAAGUGUGCUAGUAGCUAGAUAAGGGAUGAAUGAUAGCAGGAAGGAAUAAUGAGCUUACUGGGUGAGGCUACUAUUUUUUAAGUUGCGACCUACUGAUCAUAACAACAAUUGAUCGUAACAACGUACCAUUGAUGAUUUAGGGUAUUGAUUUAGUAACUGUUAGGAUGUGACUACGGCUUGUAAGUGGUGGGUUGUAUAUUACUAACAAGUAGCAUGUUUAGCCUCAAUAUUGUCCUCUGUCACUCGUAACAACGUGCCAUUGACGGACCACAUAUUGGGCCCGUCACUACUACCUUUUUCAAACAAAAAUAGAAUUUUAGUUAUAGUCAGAUUCACAACAAUCCCGCCGGCCAUUAGUGUUAAGUAGCAUUGCUGACCGGUUUUUUGAACCACCACUUUUGAUCGAUAACUAGGCGAGAACUCUAGUGUAGUGCACAUUUGUUUGGUUGAGAUUUUUUAGUGUUUUUAUGUGCACAAAGACAUAUCGUUCAACCCUAACAUGUUCUCUUUAGGUGGGGUCGAGAGUGAAGGACUGGGGAGCUUGGAAGUAGGGGAAAUGGCACCUCGAGGGGUUCAGGUCUCCAUGAUCAAUAACCACAAUUUUGAUCUGAAUGAGCUGCCGACUGAGCAUGAGUAGCUCAAGAAGGAGUAGUCACCCAUGGAGCAAGAGUAGCCGCCUAUGGCACAACAUGAGCUUUAAUAUUCACAAUGGUUGGAGGCUACUCAAAUCCCGCUUGUGUGAGAAAAAAUAACUCUUGGCCCAAAGUAUAGCCCUGUCAGAAAUUAUCGAAACAAUAUCCUUAUCCCAAGGACGAUUGUAAAGCUUAUGUGGAACUUUUCAAUUUCUUGCUUCCUAUUUUUUGGUGAUUGACUGACGCUAUUGCUAAACUUGAGGGAAGGACUUGGUAUACUGCCUCAUGAUCAAUGUGUCACCUGGAAUGGCUUUUCUAUUCAUUUCCCAUGAUGGUUUUGAUAUGUAGAUUGUUUGGACAAGCAUUUAUUCAUUCGGUAAAGCUUUGUGAAACAUCAACGGUGUGAAAUGAUAGUAGGUCAAGAAGUGUGUUGGAUCAUGAGAUAACAUAUUUUCUAAGUUGUUAAUCAUGUGUGUUAACACCAUGGGUAGUAUGAGAGAAGGUCAACAUGCAUGUUUGGGUCUGAAAUGACCUCAUGACCCAAAAGGGAGAGAAACAUGCCUAAUAGGAAUAUGAACAAUAUGGAAGUUACUUGUUGCAUGGAUGUUAACUGUGGUUAUGAAACCACACAAGAUGUCAGAGGACCCGCAUCCUUACAUAUCAAGGUUGACUUCACAUGCCAACUGGAUUUCGACUAAAUUAUUGUAUAUGCAUGUAUGUUAUAUCUUGACAUCUUACCAAACAAAAAACACCAAAAAAUACACUAUUUACUUCUCUUUGAUGCAUAUUCUAGUUGGAGAGUAAUCAUAACCUUAUGUGGAUAUUUUUCCAUAAUAGAAUAUAUAAUGGUCUAGUGAGGCAAGGUGUAAAUGGAGAGGACAAUAGUCGAACAUGAAAACAUCCAACAUUGUGUUAUAGUUGCAUCAAGUUGUCUAGUGAGUCAAUAUGGAAAUGGAGGAGGCUCAUAGGGCAACACGAGAACACCCAACAUGUUGCUCUACUUACUUCCUAUUGGUACGAAGAGACCGAGAGUAGUGAAAGGUUAAUCAUAACACAUGGACAAGAUAUCUCAUACAAGAUGAAAAUGGAGUGAGUCUUGUAUGAAAAUGCUAACAAAGUAUGAGUGUGCAUAGCAUGCCAUCCCCUCCCUUUCUUGUUCGAGUUUCCUUCACCAACCCCAUAGUACCCUGAUCAACACUAUUAUUUGGAUAUGCUUCUCAUCUGAGAAAGAAUAGUUAUUGAGAGACAUUUAUAUCAUUGUCUAGAUAGACUUGUUCAAGGGCCAAUAAUGGAGGUGUCUUAUCUAUUAUAGCCACAUUCCGGAGAAGAAUAAAAAAAGUAGACACAACCUGAUAAUUUAUUGAGAUUUGAAUUGAGGAUCCACAUACAUCAACUAUCCCACAUGUGAAUCAAAUCCACAUCCUACAUGGGCAUUGGGCUUUAGUUGGACUACCACUUUAUGGACAAGCCAUGUGCUCCAUGUAGUCUAUGUUGCAAAGGCGGGAGGACAAGGAGCAAAUAGUUUUUGAUGGCUGGACAUUGAAGUUAUUUGUCAAGAAAUUUGUUUCCUGACAUGGUUUGUUUAUUUCAUUAUUUAGUAUUUGAUAUCGGUUCAAUGCUCUAGUAUGUAACAUUCUUCUCACAUUUUGGGUCUAGCUCUUGGUGUUCAUGAGUUCAUUACUUAUGUUAACUAUUAUUGUUGUGGCCACUUGUUCGACAAGAGACUAUAAAGUUAACUAAGAUACUCUCAUAUUUAUAUUAAUAUAGUUGGCACUGAGGUAAUAAUAAACCUUGAAUACUACUCAUAUUUGUCAAAUAGGAGGUCAAGCUGGAUCUGUCUGGCGCAUCAUCUAUGGUCACAUGGUGUAUUGUCUAUUCUAACCCCAAUGAGUAUUGCAGAAUGACAUGUUCCUGCGAGGAGGAAUGAGUCACUCUUUUGUGUCAAGGGGUGAUGCCAUGCCUCAUAAUUGACAAUAAAAAAUUAACCACCUACAUCAAAAGUCUAACCCAAGACAGGGAAUAGGCGCCAUUGCAAUUUUACCGCACAAAGUCAUCGGUAUUUUGCAAUUGAAUGUUCCCCAUGUUGUGACUGAGAACACAAAACACAAAACACCCCACAAAACACUAUUCACUUCUCUUCGAUGCAUAUUCUAGUGGAAGGGUAGUCAUAACCAUAUGGGAAUAUUUUACCACAAUAGAAUCUAUAAUGGUCUAGUGAGGCAAGGUUUAAAUGGAGAGGAUAAUAGGCGAACAUGGAAACAACCAACAUUGUGUUUUACUUGCAUCUAGUUGUAUAGUGAGAUAAUAUUGAAACGGAGGAGGCUUAUAGGGCAACAUGAGAACACCCAAUAUGUUGCUCUACUUACUUCCUAUUGUUACCAAGGGACUGAGGCUCGAGCAUGGUUAAUCAUAACACAUGGAGAAGAUCUCUCAUACUAGUUGAUAAUAGAAUGAAUCUUGUAUGAAAAUGCUAACAAAGUAUGAGUGUGCAUAACAUGCCAUCUCCUCCCUUUCUUGUCGUAUUUUCCUUCACCAACCCCCAUAGUACCCUGAUCAGCACUAUUAAUUUGAUAUGCUUCACAUCUGAGUUAGAAUUGUGAUUGGGAAUAGUUGUAUCAUUAUCUAAGUAGACUUCUUCAAGGGGAAAUAAUGGACGUGUCUUAUCUAUUAUAGCCACAUUCCGGAUAGGAAUAAAAAAGUAGACAUAACAAGAUAAUUUGUUGAGAUUUGAAUCGAAAAUACAACAUACAUCAACUAUUCUACAUGUAAAUCAAAUCCUCAUCCUACAUCGGCAUUCGGCUUUAGUUCGACUACCACUUUAUGGACAAGCCGUGUGGUCCAUGUGGUCUACGUCACAAAGGCCAGACGACAAGGAGAAAAUAGUUGUCGAUGAUUGAUCAUUGAAGUUAUUUGUCAAGAAAUUUUUCCCCGACAUGGUUCAUUUAAUUCAUUAUUUAGUAUUUGAUAUCGGUUCUAUGCUCUAAUGUGUAACCUUCUUCUCACGAUUUGGGUCUAGCUAUCAGUGGUCAUGAGUUCAUUACUUAUGUUAACUACUAUUGUUGUGUCCACUUGUUCGCCAAGAGACUAUAAAGUUAACUUAUAUCCUCCCGUAUUUAUAUUAAUAUAGUUUGUGGUUAGGUAAUCCUUGACCUUGAAUAUUACUCACAUUUGUCAAAUAGGAGGCCAAGCUGGAACUGUCUAGUGCAUCAUCUGUGGUCACAUAUGGUGUAUUGCCUAUUCUAAACCCAAUGAGUAUUACAUUAUGGCAUGUGCCUGCGAGGAGGAACUGAGUUACUCUUUUAUGUCUAGGGGAGACGGCAUGCCUAAUAAUUCUCAAUGAAAAAUUAUAGCCUACAUCAAAAGUCUAACCCAAGAAAGUGAAUAUGUGCCAUUGUAGUUUUACAACACUAAGGGUGUGUUCUGAUCUUGUCGUGCUCCACGCUUCCCAAAUUCCUGGAGCAGAUACGAGCCGAACGAAAUAGCAGCGAGAAGCUAACUCCAGGAAGCUAGGAUUGACCGCAGCGCAAAAUCAUGAAGCAGACUCGGCCCAGCUCCACCAAUCCGAAAAGCUGAAGUUGGCCGAUAUUACAAGUAAACUGCCACAGCCAAGUCAUACGAGUCGAACCGGUACGCUCGAUCUGUUUGAUCGCUCCUCGUUCCCUCGCUCGUGCUCCCUCGCUGCUCCUCUACAAGGCCGAUUUGGGUUGCCUCCAGUCAGCCCAACUAGCUCGAACAGGCCACAACCCUUCUAGCUAGGUUGCAGUGCCGCGAGAAGCUGCAAACCGAGCCAAACGGAUUUUUCAUCGCUGCUUGGAGUGAGAAGCUACUCUGAAUAGGUGAAUUUCUGAAGUUUUGGGAAGCUAGAGGAGAUCAGAAAAGGCCCUAAGUCAUCGGUAUUUCAUAAUUGAAUGUUCUCCAUGUCGUGACUUCUGAUGGUGUAAACCCAAAUAAUUGCCAUUGUGAAAUUAAGUUCCUUUCGUGAGUCAGAACCCACAUCCGUAAAGAUGUGCCACUACAAUCCACCUCAUGGCUAUCUUGGAGUCCUUAAUAUAAUCAAGUGUGCCCAAUAUGGUGACUUAAUAUGUACUUAUUGACCCUACGAAGCUAAUCGCCUCCAUCAAGACCCCUUCCUGGUUCUCCUAUAACUAGAUUCCUCGAAACCACGAGAAUCCUUACAAUGGGAUAACAACUUAGCACCUUUCGUUUUCACAUAGUAAGAAGAGUUGCUCCUUGGAUAGCACGGUACGAUCAAAGGUGUAACCUGUGUUUUGGAGCGAGUUAUUGUCUCGAAACUUUGUUCUCAACUAUUCCGAAUCCAGCAAACGGAGGCCAUUGGGUCAAAGCUGUAGCGCACGCCCUGUAGUUUUCAAGUGGGGCGAGACAACUUAGCUAGGAACCUAUUUUCAUUCUGACCAGCUCCCUGAAAACAAUGUUCGACUUCAUGUGUAGUCGGUGUAGAUGUGUCAUUGCAAUUCCACCACUAGGAUAUCACCAAGUCCUAUGUAUUACAUGUCAACAUAUGCCACCAUAUGGUUACUUGACAAAUUAAAUGGAUUUCACCAAGAUUUCAUGUUACAAUUAUAGUGAAGAUAGUGACUCACAUGUCAGCCUCCCUGACGGGAAGCAAAAUCACUCUGACUUUGGCAACCUAAUUCUUGGCGGGUUCAAGCAAACAUGUUGGAUUUGUAUUUUAUUUAUUUCAACAUAUAUAAUUCAUAUAAAUAAAUCAAUUCAUAAUAGGAGUCUUGGAGACACCCAUGUCAAUAAUGUGAAAUUAUGGGAAAUCUUAUUAUGUGCAUCAACAUAAGCCAAAACUCGUGGCUUAAGAGAUAUGUUUACAAUCUUCCAAUGGUUAUUCCCCCUACUAAAUUCAUGAUGUUAACUAGUUCCCAUAAGUUGAGAAAGAAGUUUAGUCAUGGGAUCAAUGUCCAGUGCAUCAUAUUUCCAGUUCCCAAAAAAAAUUAUUAUGGAAGUUGAGAAAGAAGUUUGGGCAACAUAUUUCCAGACACCUGUCAUGUCUAGGAUCUUCUCAAGCCUAGGUAAGCUUAGUCACGGGAUCAAUGCAGGCUAUUAGUACAUUGACCCGGUUCUUAAUUCAAGUCCUCCUUGCUAGAUACAAUAUUGAAUGGAAAGUACAUAAUCAAUUUAUUUAAGUGGGUGAACAAUGUUGGCUAGUAUAUUUCAACACUCACCUCACAUGCAUCUUUUAGAGGCAUAUAAUGCAUCGUGAUGGAAACAUUUUUUCUAUAGACUAAAUUCCAAUGGAAAAUUUUAAUUAAUUUAAUUAGUAGCAAUCUCGUAUGGUAAGGAUAUAUGGCAAAUGAAAAUGAGGGCUUAAAUGCUACUUGUUGGCACACAAAAGUCAUGUUGUCUUUUUCCUCCCAUGUUGAUCCUUUGUGGUUUGACAUUAGGCAUUCCAAAGAGAACAAGUUAUCUUUACACACCUCUAGAGCUACUAGACCCUGGAUGUUCCACCAUGAAUGUCCAUAUGGUGCAAUGAGUGAUAGCGAGCUAUAUUAGAACAUAUAGUUUACACCGUUAAAGUAAUUAAAUGGGCUAUUUUGGCUACUAUGAAAAAUAGUAUUUUAAGAGAAAACUAUGUAAGAGUUUGUGAUCUUUGUAUGUAAAAGCAUUAUUUGCCUUUGCUUGGUGUUCACGCAGUUUGAUUUAUGGCAAAAAUGUAAAAUCAUGGGACAAUAAUUGUUGAUAUUCUUUGCGGAGAAAGCGAGAUCUUUCCACUUUUCAGAUCACACAAAGUAUUGUUUUUCUUAUAGGGGUGAUAUACAGUGUUCUAAAUCUGCACUUGUGAUUCGUUGUCCAUUUAAAUUUAAAUGGUUUCUUCCACAGAUUAUGUUGGUUUGUUGUUGUAUUUAUCUCAGCACUAAAGUAUACUGAUGUUAGCUAAGUCCAAUCAAAGGCCCAUGUUUUUAUCAUGUUAUGCAAAUUAGUAAGCUAAGAUCUUACCAAACUCAAGUUACAUAAGCCCAGACUACGUGAAAUACACAUCAUGCAGUACACAUGUUCAUCUUAGUGUUAUGUUAUACUUGGCUUCGAGAUAACAAAUGGUAUCAAUUAUUACUAUCUUUUGCAGCUUGUUUCUGCCUGGUCAUCGUAGAAUUAUCUUAUGUGGUCUCCCAAGGUUCAUGCAACUUGGAUUUUCAUACUUUGGUAGUAUUAGUGUUCACUAGGACUAGGUGCCACUCUGUAGAAGCUAAGGAUACAGAUGGAGAAAGUAGUCAUGGUUUUUUUUUUCAAAAAGUUUGUUCAUAUCUAUAAGAGGUUUAUGAUUUUUCAGUGUAUACUGUUGUGAAACCUAGAGUGUUUUAUCUCAUUUAACAUUGAACUACGCUUUCAAGGAAAAACCUUCAUUUGACAUCGAACUAUGCAUGCAGGGCAAACACCCCGUGCUUCGUUGCCACCGCGCCGCGAACCCUGGGAGCUUGAACCUGGAUGGGUGUGAACUUAAGAUUGAUGUCAAUGUUAGGGGUCAGUCAUUGAUAGAGAAUAAAGGGGACUUUGCGAAACUGUUAUUAAUAAUAUGGAUGAAACAUUGCCUUGUGGAGAGAAUAAGAUAUUUCAAGAGAUAUUUAUAAAUGGAUGCAUACUUGCAAUAGCAGUACAAAAUAUGAUGCUAACAUUUUAUUUUCAUUGUUGUUCCCAUUAAACUUCUGGUGGUGGCUCCAUUAUUCACAGCCUCGCACAUGAAAAUGUUAUUUCGUUCGGGUAAAUGUUGCGUGUCGUUGCUCC
This 11339-nucleotide long non-coding RNA is filed under the name Triticum aestivum (bread wheat). RNAcentral describes it as "long non-coding RNA (TAES_LNC017168)". Lineage: Eukaryota; Viridiplantae; Streptophyta; Magnoliopsida; Poales; Poaceae. The record is from RNAcentral.